Molecule: ribosomal RNA, 238 nt
Filed under: uncultured bacterium
Lineage: Bacteria
Description: partial 16S ribosomal RNA
Rfam family: Bacterial small subunit ribosomal RNA
Source: RNAcentral
UACGUAGGUGGCAAGCGUUGUCCGGAAUUAUUGGGCGUAAAGCGCGCGCAGGUGGUUUCUUAAGUCUGAUGUGAAAGCCCACGGCUCAACCGUGGAGGGUCAUUGGAAACUGGGGAACUUGAGUGCAGGAGAGAAGAGUGGAAUUCCACGUAGUAGCGGUGGAAAUGCGUAGAGAUGUGGAGGAACACCAGUAGGCGAAGGCGGCGACCUGGACAGGUACUGACACUCAACGUACGAA